Seriola aureovittata is the source of this 1955-nucleotide long non-coding RNA. RefSeq lists it as uncharacterized. The record is from RefSeq and is a predicted model, not a curated record. The transcript has 2 exons. NCBI's taxonomy places the organism in Eukaryota, Metazoa, Chordata, Actinopteri, Carangiformes, Carangidae.
UUUGCUGGAUGUUGUUACCGUGUGUGACUGUUAACUCUCAGAAGUCGGAUAUAUUGAUGGAUUUACAGGACUGCAAGUAUAAAAUGUUACACGCAGAUUUACUGGAUAGUUUUUCAUUCUUUGUAGGUUAUAUUAGGCUUUUAGCCAGAAGUGCAAUUGAUUGACGUUAGCUAAAUUGCUAUAUAGGCGCUACUUAACACACAAACCUAACGCGUAAUUUAGCUUUAAACUUUAGGAUAUACGUUAACGUUUGUAGUGACAGCGUCCAGUCUUUACGUUUAUAAGUUAAGUAACAGUAAGAAACAGUGUGUUUGCUCUGUCUGAAGGUAGUAAAUUGAGCUAGCUGGCAGUUUGCUCUCUUUCUGUUUUGGCUUUGUGUUGACUAGAUAACAAGCCUUAACAGGACGACUAGUCACGUAGCAUUAGCGUUUCAUGCCCAACUCGAAAUUCUGGGCUCUACCGAAAAUGAUCGUCCUGCCCUGUCCUAUUUUAUUAAGAUGAGCCCAUUGUGGAGUUUCCCUCUUUAUAUUUAUCUCCCCAGCUGAUUGGCUGGUGCGUGGAGGUGGCUGCUAGACAUUUCACCUCACUAGUGACAGUAAAUUCCCAUUUGUAAAUUUGUGGUUAAACUGCCAGGUCACGUUAUUUUAAUGUCAACAAAUCUACCUAAAAGUGACAAGUGAGUAUGCUAUUUUUAGGUGCAGAAGUCCAAGCAUCCACUAGAUGUCACCCUUAGGUAUGUUAUGGAAUAACUAUACUUAGAGCUCACCUGUUGUCCCUUUAUUUUUUAAGAGUGUCCUAUGAAGAUGUCUUCAUUAGUGGCCUAUGAGGAUUCAGAGUCAGAGGAUGAAUUUCUGGAUCAAACGAAGGAGGGAACAUCAGCUUCUGUCCAAACUGGAUCUUAUGAACAAAACCAAGAAGUUGUGAUGUGUAAUAACUCAGAUGUACCAGCCAAGCCUCGAAGUUUUACCCAUGACCCUGAGGGGACGGUGUUGGAAUAUCAUGGGAAUAUCUCAGAAAGAACCAUUUCCUGUUUGCAGCUGUUGUCACCAUGGCUACAGCAGGUAGUGGAAAGUGGUGCUUCUGGCAGGAGGUCUGUCAGGGAUGUGUGGCUGGUGUGUUAGCACGCCAAUGGAUCUGAUCAAAGCUCGUCUCCAGAUGGACUGGAUUGGGCAGCGGAGGUACCGAGGCUUUUUGCACUGUAUCACAGACAGCGUCCGCUCUGAGGGUCCUGGUGUCUUCUUCAGGGGUCUGAGUCUCAACCGCAUGCGAGCCGUCCCUGUCAACAUGGCAGUCCUCUCCUCGUAUGAGAUAGUGAUGCGCCUGCUCAAACAAACAAAUUAACUCGAACUCGCUUUUCUCACCUGAAUGUUCAUAAUGAAAGGGGAACACACCAGAAUUUUACUUUCCACAUUUGCACCUGGGAAUUCUGACAAGGAAACUUCAAAUAAUGCCGCAAUGAAGGAUUUUCCUGGAAGGUUGUGCUGAAUAAUAUAUUUACAUUAUUUUUGUAUGACACAAAUUUAUUAAGUAAGUAAAUGUUUUUUUUAUAAAGAAUAUUGGAGGUGUGGAGUUGUACGAAACUGACAAUGACAAUCUGUUAGUGAAGUGGUUCUCAGGCACCUUUAGUACUGGUUCAAAGUGAAGUAAGACUUCAGCAAGACAAUAAUAUCACAGAAUGCCUAUGUUGAUAUGUUUGAUGGGUGUGAUAUUGUGGGAAAAAUGGGUACUCUUUCUAUUUAACCCUAGAAAUAUUAAAACAAUAUUAUGUGCAUGCAUGCACUAGGAAACACUUAACACUGAAACCAGGUGACAAUGCCGCCAUCUGUAGGACAUGAGGGGUCACUCAAUGCUUUGAUGAGUAUGAAAUUGAUGCAAAUCAUAUGCUAUGGCAUUUACAGUCACCAGCUCCAGGUAUAGGAUAUGAUUACAUUUUUAAAUAAAACAUGUUUUCCAAA